GACGAACGCUGGCGGCGUGCUUAACACAUGCAAGUCGAACGGAAAGGCCCUGCUUUUGUGGGGUGCUCGAGUGGCGAACGGGUGAGUAACACGUGAGUAACCUGCCCUUGACUUUGGGAUAACUUCAGGAAACUGGGGCUAAUACCGGAUAGGAGCUCCUGCUGCAUGGUGGGGGUUGGAAAGUUUCGGCGGUAGGGGAUGGACUCGCGGCUUAUCAGCUUGUUGGUGGGGUAGUGGCUUACCAAGGCUUUGACGGGUAGCCGGCCUGAGAGGGUGACCGGCCACAUUGGGACUGAGAUACGGCCCAGACUCCUACGGGAGGCAGCAGUGGGGAAUAUUGCACAAUGGGCGGAAGCCUGAUGCAGCAACGCCGCGUGCGGGAUGACGGCCUUCGGGUUGUAAACCGCUUUCGCCUGUGGCGAAGCGUGAGUGACGGUAAUGGGUAAAGAAGCACCGGCUAACUACGUG
This 468-nucleotide ribosomal RNA is filed under the name uncultured bacterium. RNAcentral describes it as "partial 16S ribosomal RNA". It matches the Rfam family "Bacterial small subunit ribosomal RNA", at positions 28 to 507 of the family's 1533-position model. The record is from RNAcentral.